CCUACGGGUGGCUGCAGUGGGGAAUAUUGGACAAUGGGGGGAACCCUGAUCCAGCCAUGCCGCGUGUGUGAAGAAGGCCCUCGGGUUGUAAAGCACUUUCAGUGAGGAAGAACGCCUGGUGGUUAAUACCCAUCAGGAAAGACAUCACUCACAGAAGAAGCACCGGCUAACUCCGUGCCAGCAGCCGCGGUAAUACGGAGGGUGCGAGCGUUAAUCGGAAUUACUGGGCGUAAAGCGCGCGUAGGUGGCUUGAUAAGCCGGUUGUGAAAGCCCCGGGCUCAACCUGGGAACGGCAUCCGGAACUGUCAAGCUAGAGUGCAGGAGAGGAAGGUAGAAUUCCCGGUGUAGCGGUGAAAUGCGUAGAGAUCGGGAGGAAUACCAGUGGCGAAGGCGGCCUUCUGGACUGACACUGACGCUGAGGUGCGAAAGCGUGGGUAGCAAACAGGAUUAGAUACCCUAGUAGUC
RNAcentral lists this ribosomal RNA (465 nucleotides) under Vreelandella stevensii. RNAcentral describes it as "partial 16S ribosomal RNA". It matches the Rfam family "Bacterial small subunit ribosomal RNA", at positions 338 to 795 of the family's 1533-position model. Lineage: Bacteria; Pseudomonadati; Pseudomonadota; Gammaproteobacteria; Oceanospirillales; Halomonadaceae. The record is from RNAcentral.